This 872-nucleotide long non-coding RNA is filed under the name Danio rerio (zebrafish). RNAcentral describes it as "lncRNA si:dkey-56m19.6 (ENSDARG00000102706.2)". Lineage: Eukaryota; Metazoa; Chordata; Actinopteri; Cypriniformes; Danionidae. The record is from RNAcentral.
CUCUUCUCAUGUCUCCGGGUCGACCUGCUGAACUUUGCUGAAUCUGGUGCCUAAUAUAGGGGAAAUCUUACAGAUCUGGGGGCUCGUCCGGGAUACAUCUGAUCAGAUUUUGGGGGCCCCCUCAGCACAGACGACACCUCUACAGCUGCAAUUCACCUCUACAGCUGCACAAUUGCGUUUGGGAGACAGAUGGGAGCUAAACACGUAGCACUGUAGCACUGUCUACCUUAAGGCAAGGGUCAGCAUGACUUCCUUUUUGCUGCGGACAAUUGGACUGUUUCUCUUUCUUGUGACUCAAGCUAAUGCUGGACACAUGAUCAUGAAUUCGGAUGGGCAGAGGAUGGGGCUGACAAUCCUAUUGGAACUAAUAUGUGGUAUCAAUAUGUGAAAGUUUUAACGCGUUCUUAUAAUGUAUCUGGAUGUUAUGUAUGUUCUGUUAUGCCUCAUUCAGCCAAACAAACCCCUCUUUAUGCCAAACCCAUGAAUAAGACCUCUGCUAAAUGUUCUGCCAGUUUUGCAGGAUCAGGGUACCAGAAUCCAUAUAUAAUUGUCGAUGACUACGAUCCAUACCGGAUUGGCAUUAGAAAUGGUACAUGUGAUGCUCUAUUUUGGGUAAAAUUUGGCCACGCUAAACCCUCACCUAUUAGCCACAAGGUUUUUUAUUAACCACUCUAUUACACACCCUGUGUGUUAUAACCAGACCAUGGGCUCUCAUUUCAUGGGAAGCACUGUUAACUGUCAACAAAUUGCCUCCUCGGGAGAGGGGGCCCCAGUCGACAUCUCAGGACCCUCAAACGGCACUUAUGUGGUCCAGGGUGGGUGGUGGUUGUGUGGGAAAAACGCCUACAUGUCCCUACCGGCCAACUGGACGG